RNAcentral lists this ribosomal RNA (1776 nucleotides) under Vibrio cholerae. RNAcentral's name for it is "partial 23S ribosomal RNA". It matches the Rfam family "Bacterial large subunit ribosomal RNA", at positions 1166 to 2925 of the family's 2925-position model. The record is from RNAcentral. Lineage: Bacteria; Pseudomonadati; Pseudomonadota; Gammaproteobacteria; Vibrionales; Vibrionaceae.
GAAGAUGUAACGGGGCUAAGCAAUACACCGAAGCUGCGGCAAUAUCUUUUAGAUAUUGGGUAGGGGAGCGUUCUGUAAGCCGUUGAAGGUGAAUCGUAAGGUUUGCUGGAGGUAUCAGAAGUGCGAAUGCUGACAUGAGUAACGACAAGGGGGGUGAAAAACCUCCCCGCCGGAAGACCAAGGGUUCCUGUCCAACGUUAAUCGGGGCAGGGUGAGUCGACCCCUAAGGCGAGGCCGAAAGGCGUAAUCGAUGGGAAACGGGUUAAUAUUCCCGUACUUCUUACAAUUGCGAUGGGGGGACGGAGAAGGCUAGGUGGGCCAGGCGACGGUUGUCCUGGUUCAAGUGCGUAGGCUUAAGAGUUAGGUAAAUCCGGCUCUUUCUAAGGCUGAGACACGACGUCGAGCUACUACGGUAGUGAAGUCAUUGAUGCCAUGCUUCCAGGAAAAGCCUCUAAGCUUCAGAUUGUAAGGAAUCGUACCCCAAACCGACACAGGUGGUCGGGUAGAGAAUACCAAGGCGCUUGAGAGAACUCGGGUGAAGGAACUAGGCAAAAUGGUACCGUAACUUCGGGAGAAGGUACGCUCUUGAUGGUGAAGUCCCUCGCGGAUGGAGCUGACGAGAGUCGCAGAUACCAGGUGGCUGCAACUGUUUAUUAAAAACACAGCACUGUGCAAAAUCGCAAGAUGACGUAUACGGUGUGACGCCUGCCCGGUGCCGGAAGGUUAAUUGAUGGGGUUAGCGCAAGCGAAGCUCUUGAUCGAAGCCCCGGUAAACGGCGGCCGUAACUAUAACGGUCCUAAGGUAGCGAAAUUCCUUGUCGGGUAAGUUCCGACCUGCACGAAUGGCGUAAUGAUGGCCACGCUGUCUCCACCCGAGACUCAGUGAAAUUGAAAUCGCUGUGAAGAUGCAGUGUACCCGCGGCUAGACGGAAAGACCCCGUGAACCUUUACUACAGCUUGGCACUGAACAUUGAACCUACAUGUGUAGGAUAGGUGGGAGGCUAUGAAGACGUGACGCCAGUUGCGUUGGAGCCAUCCUUGAAAUACCACCCUUGUAUGUUUGAUGUUCUAACUUAGACCCGUUAUCCGGGUUGAGGACAGUGCCUGGUGGGUAGUUUGACUGGGGCGGUCUCCUCCCAAAGAGUAACGGAGGAGCACGAAGGUGGGCUAAUCACGGUUGGACAUCGUGAGGUUAGUGCAAUGGCAUAAGCCCGCUUAACUGCGAGAAUGACGGUUCGAGCAGGUGCGAAAGCAGGUCAUAGUGAUCCGGUGGUUCUGUAUGGAAGGGCCAUCGCUCAACGGAUAAAAGGUACUCCGGGGAUAACAGGCUGAUACCGCCCAAGAGUUCAUAUCGACGGCGGUGUUUGGCACCUCGAUGUCGGCUCAUCACAUCCUGGGGCUGAAGUCGGUCCCAAGGGUAUGGCUGUUCGCCAUUUAAAGUGGUACGCGAGCUGGGUUUAGAACGUCGUGAGACAGUUCGGUCCCUAUCUGCCGUGGGCGUUGGAAGAUUGAAGGGGGCUGCUCCUAGUACGAGAGGACCGGAGUGGACGAACCUCUGGUGUUCGGGUUGUGUCGCCAGACGCAUUGCCCGGUAGCUAAGUUCGGAAUUGAUAAGCGCUGAAAGCAUCUAAGCGCGAAGCGAGCCCUGAGAUGAGUCUUCCCUGAUACUUUAAGUAUCCUAAAGGGUUGUUCGAGACUAGAACGUUGAUAGGCAGGGUGUGUAAGCGUUGUGAGGCGUUGAGCUAACCUGUACUAAUUGCCCGUGAGGCUUAACCA